RNAcentral lists this ribosomal RNA (435 nucleotides) under uncultured bacterium. Its description in RNAcentral is "partial 16S ribosomal RNA". It matches the Rfam family "Bacterial small subunit ribosomal RNA", at positions 29 to 507 of the family's 1533-position model. The record is from RNAcentral.
AGCGAACGCUGGCGGCAGGCUUAACACAUGCAAGUCGAGCGGGCAUAGCAAUAUGUCAGCGGCAGACGGGUGAGUAACGCGUGGGAACGUACCUUUUGGUUCGGAACAACACAGGGAAACUUGUGCUAAUACCGGAUAAGCCCUUACGGGGAAAGAUUGAUCGCCGAAAGAUCGGCCCGCGUCUGAUUAGCUAGUUGGUGGGGUAAUGGCUAACCAAGGCGACGAUCAGUAGCUGGUCUGAGAGGAGGAUCAGCCACAUUGGGACUGAGACACGGCCCAAAACCCGACGGGAGGGAGCAGUGGGUAAUAUUGGAGAAGGGGCGCAAGCCUGAUCAAGCCAUGCGGCGGGAGUGAUGAAGGCCCUAGGGUUGUAAAGCCCUUUGGGGCGGGAAGAUAAUGACGGUACCGCAAGAAUAAGCCCCGGCUAACUUCGUG